Podarcis lilfordi (Lilford's wall lizard) is the source of this 136-nucleotide non-coding RNA. The record is from the annotation of a GenBank genome assembly. NCBI's taxonomy places the organism in Eukaryota, Metazoa, Chordata, Lepidosauria, Squamata, Lacertidae.
ACACACACACACACACACACACACCAUUUUUACUGGUGUUAUUAACACACUUCCCUCAAAAGUUCUUCAAUGUUUUGCCUCACAAAGAACCUCCAAGUUUCACUUUAGUUGUGUGUGUGUGUGUGUGUGUGUGUGU